RNAcentral lists this ribosomal RNA (500 nucleotides) under uncultured bacterium. Its description in RNAcentral is "partial 16S ribosomal RNA". It matches the Rfam family "Bacterial small subunit ribosomal RNA", at positions 29 to 523 of the family's 1533-position model. The record is from RNAcentral.
AUUGAACGCUGGCGGCAUGCUUUACACAUGCAAGUCGAACGGUAACGCGGGGGCAACCCUGGCGACGAGUGGCGAACGGGUGAGUAAUACAUCGGAACGUGCCCAGUAGUGGGGGAUAGCUCGGCGAAAGCCGGAUUAAUACCGCAUACGACCUACGGGUGAAAGCGGGGGAUCGCACGACCUCGCGCUAUUGGAGCGGCCGGUGGCAGAUUAGCUUGUUGGUGGGGUAAAAGCCUACCAAGGCUACGAUCUGUAGCUGGUCUGAGAGGACGACCAGCCACACUGGGACUGAGACACGGCCCAGACUCCUACGGGAGGCAGCAGUGGGGAAUUUUGGACAAUGGGCGCAAGCCUGAUCCAGCAAUGCCGCGUGUGUGAUGAAGGCCUUCGGGUUGUAAAGCACUUUUAGUGGGAACGAGACGGUCCGGGCCAAUACCCUGGACUACUGACGGUACCCGCAGAAUAAGCACCGGCUAACUACGUGCCAGCCGCCGCCGUAA